AUUGAACGCUGGCGGCAGGCCUAACACAUGCAAGUCGAAUGGUAACAGGAAACAGCUUGCUGUUUCGCUGACGAGUGGCGGACGGGUGAGUAAUGUCUGGGAAACUGCCUGAUGGAGGGGGAUAACUACUGGAAACGGUAGCUAAUACCGCAUAACGUCGCAAGACCAAAGAGGGGGCCUUCGGGCCUCUUGCCAUCAGAUGUGCCCAGAUGGGAUUAGCUAGUAGGUGGGGUAACGGCUCACCUAGGCGACGAUCCCUAGCUGGUCUGAGAGGAUGACCAGCCACACUGGAACUGAGACACGGUCCAGACCCCUACGGGAGGCAGCAGUGGGGAAUAUUGCACAAUGGGCGCAAGCCUGAUGCAGCCAUGCCGCGUGUAUGAAGAAGGCCUUCGGGUUGUAAAGUACUUUCAGCGGGGAGGAAGGGAGUAAAGUUAAUACCUUUGCUCAUUGACGUUACCCGCAGAAGAAGCACCGGCUAACUCCGUG
Molecule: ribosomal RNA, 489 nt
Filed under: uncultured bacterium
Lineage: Bacteria
Description: partial 16S ribosomal RNA
Rfam family: Bacterial small subunit ribosomal RNA
Source: RNAcentral